CAGGCCUAACACAUGCAAGUCGAGCGGGGAAGGUUGCUUCGGUAACUGACCUAGCGGCGGACGGGUGAGUAAUGCUUAGGAAUCUGCCAUUUAGUGGGGGACAACAUUCCGAAAGGAAUGCUAAUACCGCAUACGUCCUACGGGAGAAAGCAGGGGAUCUUCGGACCUUGCGCUAAAUGAUGAGCCUAAGUCGGAUUAGCUAGUUGGUGGGGUAAAGGCCUACCAAGGCGACGAUCUGUAGCGGGUCUGAGAGGAUGAUCUGCCACACUGGGACUGAGACACGGCCCAGACUCCUACGGGAGGCAGCAGUGGGGAAUAUUGGACAAUGGGCGCAAGCCUGAUCCAGCCAUGCCGCGUGUGUGAAGAAGGCCUUUUGGUUGUAAAGCACUUUAAGCGAGGA
RNAcentral lists this ribosomal RNA (400 nucleotides) under uncultured bacterium. RNAcentral's name for it is "bacterial SSU rRNA". It matches the Rfam family "Bacterial small subunit ribosomal RNA", at positions 43 to 445 of the family's 1533-position model. The record is from RNAcentral.